CUCAGCUUCCGGCGCGGCCCGCGGCGCCCGCUCCCCGGCCGCAGACUGUGCCGCGACCCUAAGCGACAGCGGCGACCGAGGUCAGCGCGGGACGAAGCACGGCUGCGGCCACGGGCAGCGGGGGAGAGGCGAGGCUGGGCACGGCGCGGCCGCCGGAGGCCCCCACUGCAGGAGGGGUGGUCCGGCUUCCGCCCGGAGACCCCCGGCCUCGGCGGCCCGCUGGGCGCAGGCGCGAACUACACUUCCCAGAGGGCGCCGUGGCGCGGGCCGGGGGGCGGAGCCGGGGCCGUCUCCCCGAAGCCUCCUCCCCACCUGCUUCUCUCAGGACCCCAGGAAACUGCGGGGAGGGGCUCCGCGCCGGGUCCCGCCUGGUGGCCAGCUUGCGGGUGUGUUUGUCCGAGGUACGCAUCCGUCCGUCAUCAUCCAUCCAUCACCCAUGCGUGCAUCCAACAGUUAGUGAGCGCAUCCUCUGUGCCAGGUGCGGAUGCUCAGAUGAAGCGGGACCCGCCUCUCCCAGAGAUCACAUCCCGUAAACCAACCGUUUCCGAGGCCAAGGGGAGGUGACCCCAGAAGCUCCUGGAACGUAAGAGGGCCUCAAAUAAGUGUGUGAUGAGUGAACAAAGCAUGAGCCCCUUCACUUCCUGGCCGGGACGCGGCGGGCUGGCGGUGGGGGGCAGGUCCGCCGAGGACUGGGAGCCUCGUCCCGUCUCUGGAGGACCACCCCCUGUUGGAACAGCUCAGAGAAGGUGGGCGUGUGGAGCUCACCCCGCUCUGUGAGACAGAAGCAGGGGUGCAGCGAGGCGGAGAGGCCCGCCGCGGGGGGAGCCCGCUGCCCCCCUUUCCCUGCCCCGUAGGUUCUCUUCCUCUGGAAUAUUUGGGGAAAGAGAAUUUCUCGCCCAGAAGUCUCAGUGCUGUUCCCGGAAGCAGCUCUGGCCCCCCGUAGGUCUCUCCUGGCCUUGCUACUGGUCACCUCCCGGAACUCUGGGGUACAGGGUUGUCAUCCUUGGCCUGGCCUCCACGGAAAGGCGUGAGAGGAGACCACUCUCAGUUCCUGCCCAGCUUCACCCCCGGGCCAGGCCCCCUCCUUCAUACCUAAAGAAUCGCUGGCACAGGACCCGUGUGUGUGUGUGUGUGUGUGUGUGUGUGUGUGUGUGUGUGUGAACCGGGUGUAGGAGGAUGUGAAGAUGUCACAAGCUUCUCACUGCUUGGAAAAGGAAAGCUUAAGUUCAGCAUCUGAUCUCAGGAUCCCUAAAGGACAUAGAGCCAGUGGUAAGCCCCUUGCCUGUGCUGUGUGACCCACGUUCCUGCUGAGGUAGACUUCCUCCUAGUAGCCAAUGUCACCCUUCUCCCAGAGCCUGCCUGCACCCCACCCUCCAUCUCAGGAUCCCUAAAGCUUUAAAAUCACUUAAUUUAGAAAAAAGUAAUGCCUCUACCCAAGACACACCUUUACUGCUGCAUGUAGAAUCUUGACACCUCUUUGACUCAACCUCACCCUAUCUAAGUAGGCUUAGACCCUGCUUGUAGACUCUGGCUCAGCCAUUCCUAAUAUUAAUUCACCAACAUCCAAUUUGCUGAAUGACCAGUUUGCUAAAACUCAAUUUGCUGAGUGGCCAAUUCUCCCCAUGAUUGAGAAACCUUCCUAUCCCUCUACCCCCAAAGUUUUAUUAGUACCUCUGACCCUAUUCCUGCAUCACCCCUGUCUCUGUAUCCGCAUCGCAAGAUGAUUGUGGAGAACUGUCCUAAAUUCCAUUUAAAGUGUUUAUGUGGCAGUUCUGGACACGGACAACGGUAGGAGUGCAGAUGGAACAGAUUUUUUUUUAAUUCUCAAUAAUUCAGAUGGGUUUGGAGCAAAUCAAUAAUCAGUGGUUUCAUUUUCAUCAUAUUUGGCUUUUGGCUACCUGGCUAUUCUGUGAAUUGAUUUUUGGUGAAUAAGCCAGCUAAAGUUUUCCCAAAUAAAUUGGCUAGCUUCCUUUUAUAGAUAAAUGGUACUGUCCACUGCUCCAUGUGAAAAUGGCUGCAAUUUUAAAAUAUUUUCUAUUUUUCAUUAUUUCUUUUUCUACCCAUGAGGUUAUUUAAAAGUACUUUUUAGUUUCAAAAUGUAUGGGUCCUUUUUAGAGUUAUCUUUUUGUUAUUGAGUUUUACCUUGUACUAAGAGAAUGUGGUAUAUAAUGUCACUUUUUGUUUAGGAUUUUCUGAGACUUGCUUUGUAAUCAAGUAUGUAAUAAAUGUUUGAAACUUUGCUUUGAAUGAGCAUGUGUAUUCUAAUGUUGGCUGUAGGGAUCUAGUUAGGUCUAUUAAAUCAAAUUUAUUGAUUGUGUUAUUUGUGUCCUCUCCAUCUUAUCAUUUUAUGCCUUUUGAUGUAUCAGUUACUAAGAAAGAUGUAUUAAAAUAUAUUAAUGUUGUGGAUUUGUCCAUUUCUUCCUGUAUUUCUGACAAUUUUUGCCUUAUAUAUUUUGACACUGUGAAUACAAGUACAGAAUUGUAUUUUUCUGAGAAAGUUCAUUUUAUUAUUAUAAAGCAACAGUCUUUGCCCUAGGAAUACCUUUAGUCUAUAAUUCAUUUUAUCUGAUAUCAAUAUAGCUAAACUAACUUUAUUUUGGUCAGUAUUCAUUUGGUGUAUAUUUUCCCAACUUUUCACUUUCAAACUUUUUAUUUAUGUUUCAGGAGAGCAUUUUCUAAGACCAUAUAGCUAGAGUUUGUUGUUGAAUCCAGAAUGACAAUUUCUGUCUCAAUUGGCAAAUAGUCCAGUUGUAUUUAUUGUGAUUAGUAAUAUAUUUUUAUUCAUUUCUACCAUCGUUUUUGUGCUUUCUAUUUAUUCUGAUGUUUUCCUAUGCCUUUCUUUCCACUCUUCUAUUCGAUUGAUCACUUUUUCUUUAUACACCUUUGAGGAAUUCACCUUGAUUCACAUCUUUCUACUAAUUUGAAAACUAUUUAAUUUAGUCUUCCUUUUCUAUAUAUCUAGGGAUAGCUCUUUAAAUUUUUACACACACAUCUGAUUUGAUAUAGUCUAACAAUAAUUAGUAUUUCCACCCUCUUUCCACACAAAAGAAGGAUUUCAAUGUAUUAGUUCAAUCACAUCAUUCCCCUGUCUUCUGUGUAAUUGUUCUCUAUGGUUAAAUAUUAUUUUUAAGCCCUCCUCAGCUCUUUUUUUUUUUUUUUGUCUUGUAUAAUUGGUGCUGUUUGGAUUUACCAAUGUGCUCACUAGUAUCUUUGUUCACUGUUUUUCCUCUUGCCUCUUUCCCCUUCCUUUUGGGUUCAGUGUUCUUCUUUUGGAAUUACAAGUUUUAAAGGUUCUUCCAGCAAGGAUAUCUUAGAAGUAAAUUAUUUCAGCUAUAUUUCUGUCGCUUUUGACUGAUAGUUGAACUGAGUAGAGAAUUCUAACUUAUGGUCUUUCACUCAGAAUACUUUAUUCCAUUGUCCACCAACCAUCAUUGCUUCUGUUGAAAAGUCUGCUGUCAUUCUAAUUAUGCCAUCAUUGUACCUGAUGUGUCUUUUCUAUUUAGCUGUUUUUAAGAUCAUCCCUUUGGGGACGCCUGGGUGGCUCAGCUGUUGAGCGUCUGCCUUUGGCUCAGGAUGUGAUCCCAGGGUCCAGGGAUCGAGUCCUGCAUCAGGCUCCCUGCGGGGAGCCUGCUUCUCCCUCUGCCUGUGUCUCUGCCUCUCUCUGUGUCUCUCAUGAAUAAAUAAAUAAACUCUUAAUAAGAAAGAUCAGCCCUUUGUCUAUGGUAUUAUGAAGACACUGCAAUGGGCCUAGGUGUGGCUUUAUCUCUUUUGGGAUUCAUUCCUUAAAUCCGAGGUCUUUGUACAAGCCUGGAAAUUUCUCAGCUAUUAUAUAUUUUAAUGUUGCUUCUCCCUUGUUAUGUUUUAUACUUGUAGAAUUCAUAUUUGACAUUUAUCAGAACUCUAUUCUAGUCUUAGC
Molecule: long non-coding RNA, 3916 nt
Filed under: Canis lupus familiaris (dog)
Lineage: Eukaryota; Metazoa; Chordata; Mammalia; Carnivora; Canidae
Description: lncRNA (ENSCAFG00040018686.1)
Source: RNAcentral